GCCCAGUCACUUCCUGUCUUCGCGGGUCUAAGGGAAAAUAGCACCUGUUUUUUCAACAAAGUCGCUUAAUUUGCCCACUUUUCGUUCGCUGAUGCGGAGGUAAUCGCUGUCACAGUCAGGUGGGCAGGCUGUGAGAAUGGGCUCUAAUUAUAUUCAUGUUUUGUACCUGGAAACAACGUAAAAGGCGCUGGUGUUGGACUGACUAAAGGGACACAGCUAGCCUGAACUGCGUCAGUGAGAUGGGCCGAUAUAAUUGCUCAGCACACCCACAGAUGUCCUCAAGUAACGGCUCACUCAUUGUUCUACUGGUCAAUCAGCAAAGGAAAUCGAUGCAUUUGGGGUCACUUUGAAGAGCAGAAGUGGAGAGCAACACAAUGUUAAACACUAAAUCACUUUUAAGAUGGAGUUGUAGAGCAUGAAGGCGAGGCCACAGCAGAAGGACGAGCGAUGAAGAACUGGGAGAAGACCUACACCAGCAAGUGGUGAAGGCGGUGGACAAGACCGUGUUGAAGAAAUGGAAGUCGUACUUUUAAAUACAGGAUGACAUUUGUGCAAAAAAGAAAAGCUUAAUAAAACAUUUGUAAAGAGUCUCAUUCAUCUAAAUAUUUCAAAUGAAGUUCUGGAUGUAAUUCAGUGUUAAACGUAUACUAGCAUUACAUAUUUAAGUAGAAAGAUUCACAGAGAGGUACAAG
RNAcentral lists this long non-coding RNA (692 nucleotides) under Neogobius melanostomus (round goby). RNAcentral describes it as "lncRNA (ENSNMLG00000017035.1)". Lineage: Eukaryota; Metazoa; Chordata; Actinopteri; Gobiiformes; Gobiidae. The record is from RNAcentral.